GAUGGAGAACGCAGCGAAAUGCGAUACGUAAUGUGAAUUGCAGAAUUCAGUGAAUCAUCGAAUCUUUGAACGCAUAUUGCGCUCUUUGGUAUUCCGAAGAGCAUGCUUGUUUGAGUAUCAGUAAACACCUCAAAGCUUUUGGAUUUUUUAAUCGAAAAGCUUUGGACUUGAGCAAUCCCAACACCAAUCUUUUUGAGAUCGGUGGCGGGUUGCUUGAAAUGCAGGUGCAGCUGGACAUUCUCCUGAGCUAAAAGCAUAUUCAUUUAGUCCCGUCAAACGGAUUAUUACUUUUGCUGCAGCUAACAUAAAGGGAGUUUGACCGUAUUGGCUGACUGAUGCAGGAUUUCACAAGGGUCGGCAACGAUUCUUGUUAAACUCGAUCUCAAAUCAAGUAAGACUACCCGCUGAACUUAAGCAUAUCAAUAAGCGGAGGA
This 434-nucleotide unclassified non-coding RNA is filed under the name soil metagenome. Its description in RNAcentral is "partial contains 5.8S ribosomal RNA, internal transcribed spacer 2, and large subunit ribosomal RNA". The stretch from base 1 to 120 matches the Rfam family "5.8S ribosomal RNA", at positions 35 to 154 of the family's 154-position model. The record is from RNAcentral.